GUACUUUUCUCACUGACCAAUCUCACUUGACUUGCCCACUUACCAACCCCAACAUCAGUGGCCACUUGGGUCUUUCCCCAUUCCAACUUCGAUCUCUCCCUUGAAAAUCCAGACGGCUGCUCCAACGAGUUUCCUUAAAAUAAUCAAACACACACCCACUGCCACGUGGAAUUUCUCACACACACUCGCACGAGAACUCGUGAGAACCACGUGUUCACGAGAAGAGGAACCCAAUAUCUCGUCAGGUACAUCACUGUUUCGACAAGCAAGAACACCCUGUGUUAAAAAGACAGAAGUCAAUGUGAGAACAAAACCCAGAGAUCUCUCGGCUCAGAGCGUGCCAUCUGCCACUUCGAAACGACAGCACAAUCACUCGGGAGAUCGAGUGAUCAGACGAGAUAAUCUCCGGAUCUUCUCAUGGAAGCUGCUGUUUUUUUUUUUC
This 442-nucleotide long non-coding RNA is filed under the name Setaria italica (foxtail millet). RNAcentral's name for it is "long non-coding RNA (SITA_LNC003226)". Lineage: Eukaryota; Viridiplantae; Streptophyta; Magnoliopsida; Poales; Poaceae. The record is from RNAcentral.